CCGCAAUUUGCUUAACUCCGACAUCACCCAACGCCCCAUCAUAAGAGAUCGACUUGAGUACCGGUGCAGCAUCACGUCGUCAAAUUCAGAGUUAAAGUCUUACUCAAAAGAACUAGGAGGUCUGGCAUCCUUUUUCUUGGAUCGUUCAUUAAAUAGCGUACGCUGCGGCUCGUGGGGCGUAAAUGGUCGUCGCGUGCGUAGUG
Long non-coding RNA from Pieris brassicae (large cabbage white), 203 nucleotides. RefSeq lists it as uncharacterized. Lineage: Eukaryota; Metazoa; Arthropoda; Insecta; Lepidoptera; Pieridae. The transcript has 3 exons. The record is from RefSeq and is a predicted model, not a curated record.